UGAUAGUGUGUCAUAUUGUUUCUCUCAUUAUGUAAAAUCAUUCGCUUGGAAGACCAUCACGUAUGGAUGAGUUUUUUGAGCACACUCAUACUCGUAAAGAGGAUAGGACUCAAUGGGUUGAUGAACACUCCCGAAAGACAAAGGAUAUAUUUCAAGAGCGUAUGUUUCAGGCUAAGCAAGAGCGGUAGGCUGCUAUAGAGGCUGGUGUAACUGGUCCACCGCCUGUCUCUAAGGAAAGCAUAUGGAUUGAGACAGUGGGUGGAAAAUGAAGAGGUAGGGUAUAUGGUAUGGGUGAGGUAAGGGACUCUUCCAUGGUGCGGCCUUGAGUUGAUGGGCCAACCACGACCACCAGCACUAAUGUUUUGGAUCUUAGAGAACGAAUCAUAAUACUCAAUAGGAAAGUUGAACAACAUGCCGCUAAAUAUAGAGAGCUUGAAGACCGCUACCAAAGGGAGAAAAGAGAGUGGCAAUAGACAGUUGAAUCCUUGCGUGAGGAUCUCAACACCAGUAACUCACAGAUGGAUCAGUUUAGUCAUCAAUUGAGCAGCUUGACUGAGUAUGUGAGGGCCAUGGGUCCUAGUAGUUCUGGAUCACGUGUUCCCCCACCUCCUCCUUUUACUUUUCCAAGCUCUCAGAAAAGCACAGCUCCAGCC
Non-coding RNA from Arachis ipaensis, 653 nucleotides. Lineage: Eukaryota; Viridiplantae; Streptophyta; Magnoliopsida; Fabales; Fabaceae. The record is from RefSeq and is a predicted model, not a curated record.